GGUUGUGUGGUGUCAGGACUUAACCCACUUGUGAACAAUGCAUCGAACUUCAAUGUUCACAGUGGUUAAGUUCUGCCGCCCCUAGACC
MicroRNA precursor from Danio rerio (zebrafish), 88 nucleotides. Ensembl annotates it as microRNA 27c. Its record names the gene mir27c. NCBI's taxonomy places the organism in Eukaryota, Metazoa, Chordata, Actinopteri, Cypriniformes, Danionidae. The record is from Ensembl.